Molecule: long non-coding RNA, 404 nt
Filed under: Gallus gallus (chicken)
Lineage: Eukaryota; Metazoa; Chordata; Aves; Galliformes; Phasianidae
Source: RNAcentral
GGGGUUUUAUGGGAUUUAGGGGUUUUCCCAUCUCCACCGCACUUAACGGCUUCGAUAAGAGAACGUUCUCCAGUGCCACCAAUCCCACUUUUAUGGGGUUUCUUUGCUUCUCUGACCCCAUGGUUCACUCUCAGUACCCUAAAUCUGUUGGGAUUUCCACUUGGAUCCAUCGAGAUUGUGGGGUUUUAUGGGAUUUGGGGUUUUCCCAUCUCCACUUCACCCAACGGCUUCGAUAAGAGAACGUUCUCCAGUGCCACCAAUCCCACUUUUAUGGGGUUUCUUUGCUUAUCUGACCCCAUAGUUCACUCUCAGUACCCUAAAUCUGUUGGGAUUUCCACUUGGAUCCAUCGGGAUUUUGGGGUUUUAUGGGAUUUGGGGUUUUCCCAUCUCCCUCCUCACCUGAC